Molecule: ribosomal RNA, 754 nt
Filed under: uncultured Glomus
Lineage: Eukaryota; Fungi; Glomeromycota; Glomeromycetes; Glomerales; Glomeraceae
Description: SSU rRNA
Rfam family: Eukaryotic small subunit ribosomal RNA
Source: RNAcentral
GGCCUACCAUGGUGGUAACGGGUAACGGGGUGUUAGGGCACGACACCGGAGAGGGAGCCUGAGAAACGGCUACCACAUCCAAGGAUGGCAGCAGGCGCGCAAAUUACCCAAUCCCGACACGGGGAGGUAGUGACAAUAAAUAACAAUACGGGGUUCUUUCGGAUCUCGUAAUUGGAAUGAGUACAAUUUAAAUCUCUUAACGAGGAACAAUUGGAGGGCAAGUCUGGUGCCAGCAGCCGCGGUAAUUCCAGCUCCAAUAGCGUAUAUUAAAGUUGUUGCAGUUAAAAAGCUCGUAGUUGAAUUUCGGGGUUAGUAGGUUGGUCAUGCCUCUGGUAUGUACUGGUCUCACUGAUUCCUCCUUCCUGAUGAACCUUAAUGCCAUUAAUUUGGUGUUUUGGGGAAUUUGGACUGUUACUUUGAAAAAAUUAGAGUGUUUAAAGCAAGCUAACGCUUGAAUACAUUAGCAUGGAAUAAUGAAAUAGGACGUUCGAUCCUAUUUUGUUGGUUUCUAGGAUUGACGUAAUGAUUAAUAGGGAUAGUUGGGGGCAUUAGUAUUCAAUUGUCAGAGGUGAAAUUCUUGGAUUUAUUGAAGACUAACUACUGCGAAAGCAUUUGCCAAGGAUGUUUUCAUUAAUCAAGAACGAAAGUUAGGGGAUCGAAGACGAUCAGAUACCGUCGUAGUCUUAACCAUAAACUAUGCCGACUAGGGAUCGGGAUGAUGUUAAUUUUUUAAUGACUCAUUCGGCGCCUUACG